AGCGAACGUUUGCGGCGGGCUUAACACAUGCAAGUCGAACGAGAAUCCCUUCGGGGAGGAAAGUGGCGCACGGGUGCGUAACACGUGGAUAACCAACCCAUUGGUUUGGGACAACACCGGGAAACUGGUGCUAAUACCAGAUGUGUCGCAGCUGUCUUCAGGCGGUUGCGAGAAAGGCCCGCAAGGGUCGCCAACGGACGGGUCCGCGUCCCAUCAGCUAGUUGGUGAGGUAAUGGCUCACCAAGGCAAAGACGGGUAGCUGGUCUGAGAGGAUGAUCAGCCACACUGGAACUGAGACACGGUCCAGACUCCUACGGGAGGCAGCAGUGGGGAAUAUUGCGCAAUGGGCGAAAGCCUGACGCAGCCACGCCGCGUGAGCGAUGAAGGUCUUCGGAUCGUAAAGCUCUGUGGGGGGAGAAGAAGAAAGCCGGUGAAGAGCCGGCCCUGACGGUAUCCCCUUAGCAAGCACCGGCUAACUCCGUGCCAGCAGCCGCGGUAAAGUAU
This 504-nucleotide ribosomal RNA is filed under the name uncultured bacterium. RNAcentral's name for it is "bacterial SSU rRNA". It matches the Rfam family "Bacterial small subunit ribosomal RNA", at positions 29 to 526 of the family's 1533-position model. The record is from RNAcentral.